UGGGGAAUAUUGCACAAUGGGGGAAACCCUGAUGCAGCGACGCCGCGUGGAGGAAGAAGGUCUUCGGAUUGUAAACUCCUGUUGUUGGGGAAGAUAAUGACGGUACCCAACAAGGAAGUGACGGCUAACUACGUGCCAGCAGCCGCGGUAAAACGUAGGUCACAAGCGUUGUCCGGAAUUACUGGGUGUAAAGGGAGCGCAGGCGGGAAGACAAGUUGGAAGUGAAAUCUAUGGGCUCAACCCAUAAACUGCUUUCAAAACUGUUUUUCUUGAGUAGUGCAGAGGUAGGCGGAAUUCCGUGUGUAGCGGUGGAAUGCGUAGAUAUCGGGAGGAACACCAGUGGCGAAGGCGGCCUACUGGGCACCAACUGACGCUGAGGCUCGAAAGUGUGGGUAGCAAACAGGAUUAGAUACCCUGGUAGUCCACACCGUAAACGAUGAUUACUAGGUGUUGGAGGAUUGACCCCUUCCGUGCCGCAGUUAACACAAUAAGUAAUCCACCUGGGGAGUACGACCGCAAGGUUGAAACUCAAAGGAAUUGACGGGGGCCCGCACAAGCAGUGGAGUAUGUGGUUUAAUUCGACGCAACGCGAAGAACCUUACCAAGUCUUGACAUCCCUUGACGAACAUAGAAAUAUGUUUUCUCUUCGGAGCAAGGAGACAGGUGGUGCAUGGUUGUCGUCAGCUCGUGUCGUGAGAUGUUGGGUUAAGUCCCGCAACGAGCGCAACCCUUAUGGUCAGUUACUACGCAAGAGGACUCUGGCCAGACUGCCGUUGACAAAACGGAGGAAGGUGGGGAUGACGUCAAAUCAUCAUGCCCCUUAUGACCAGGGCUACACACGUGCUACAAUGGCGUAAACAAAGGGAAGCAGAGCCGCGAGGCCGAGCAAAUCUCAAAAAUAACGUCUCAGUUCGGAUUGUAGUCUGCAACUCGACUACAUGAAGCUGGAAUCGCUAGUAAUCGCGAAUCAGAAUGUCGCGGUGAAUACGUUCCC
Molecule: ribosomal RNA, 994 nt
Filed under: uncultured bacterium
Lineage: Bacteria
Description: bacterial SSU rRNA
Rfam family: Bacterial small subunit ribosomal RNA
Source: RNAcentral